GUGAACUUACAGGAACAAAUACCACUAUCAACGUUUGGAUCGAUAUCUGCAUCGAUCUGCACCCUUGUCUCCUGGAUUGUAGCUGAGAUCAGCGUGAACCACGUGGGUCUCUGCUCCCUGAUCUGUUUGGAAAGACUUCCAGCUUCAUCACGGAGUUUCUCUCGGUUUGUGGGCUCAUCUAAAGCUGAGUAACAGGAGGAGAAGAGUCUGGUGGUGCAGCAGAGGAACAAUUUCAGCCAUUUGGACUCAGCUGAGCCACUACAGAGGAAACAAUGACUUCAACACAAAAGGACCAACAUGGAGCGAGAAGUCAGUGCUCUCAGGAGGCCGACAAACCUCACAGAAGAAAGGGAGAGAAAACCUACAGCUGUGAUGAGUGUGGGAAGGAUUUUA
Long non-coding RNA from Pelmatolapia mariae (spotted tilapia), 393 nucleotides. RefSeq lists it as uncharacterized. The record is from RefSeq and is a predicted model, not a curated record. The transcript is spliced from 3 exons. NCBI's taxonomy places the organism in Eukaryota, Metazoa, Chordata, Actinopteri, Cichliformes, Cichlidae.